CAAAAAGUAGCUUACAACUAAAGCAUUCGGCCUACAACCGAACGACAUUAAAAUAAUCUUUUUGA
This 65-nucleotide transfer RNA is filed under the name Python molurus molurus. RNAcentral's name for it is "tRNA-Val". The record is from RNAcentral. Lineage: Eukaryota; Metazoa; Chordata; Lepidosauria; Squamata; Pythonidae.